RNAcentral lists this ribosomal RNA (400 nucleotides) under uncultured bacterium. RNAcentral's name for it is "bacterial SSU rRNA". It matches the Rfam family "Bacterial small subunit ribosomal RNA", at positions 29 to 416 of the family's 1533-position model. The record is from RNAcentral.
AUCAACGCUGGCGGCGUGCCUAACACAUGCAAGUCGAGCGCGAAAGGGGAGCAAUCCCCAAGUAGAGCGGCGAACGGGUGAGUAACGCGUGGGUAAUCUGCCUCCGAGUGGGGAACAACACCGGGAAACUGGUGCUAAUACCGCAUGACAUCGUUGGACCUUCGGAUCUGACGAUCAAAGCCGGGGACCGCAAGGCCUGGCGCUUGGAGAGGAGCCCGCGUCCGAUUAGCAGUUGGUGGGGUAAUGGCCCACCAAGGCUACGAUCGGUAGCCGGCCUGAGAGGGCGGACGGCCACACUGGGACUGAGACACGGCCCAGACUCCUACGGGAGGCAGCAGUGGGGAAUUUUUCGCAAUGGGCGAAAGCCUGACGAAGCAACGCCGCGUGGAGGAUGAAGGCC